CCUACGGGGGACAGCAGUAGGGAAUCUUCCACAAUGGGCGAAAGCCUGAUGGAGCAACGCCGCGUGAAGGAAGAAGGCUUUCGGGUUGUAAACUUCUUUUGUCAGGGACGAAGCAAGUGACGGUACCUGACGAAUAAGCCACGGCUAACUACGUGCCAGCAGCCGCGGUAAUACGUAGGUGGCAAGCGUUAUCCGGAUUUACUGGGUGUAAAGGGCGUGUAGGCGGGACUGCAAGUCAGAUGUGAAAACCACGGGCUCAACCUGUGGCCUGCAUUUGAAACUGUAGUUCUUGAGUACUGGAGAGGCAGACGGAAUUCCUAGUGUAGCGGUGAAAUGCGUAGAUAUUAGGAGGAACACCAGUGGCGAAGGCGGUCUGCUGGACAGCAACUGACGCUGAGGCGCGAAAGCGUGGGGAGCAAACAGGAUUAGAUACCCCUGUAGUC
This 443-nucleotide ribosomal RNA is filed under the name uncultured bacterium. RNAcentral's name for it is "partial 16S ribosomal RNA". It matches the Rfam family "Bacterial small subunit ribosomal RNA", at positions 338 to 795 of the family's 1533-position model. The record is from RNAcentral.